CCUACGGGGGGCAGCAGUCGAGAAUUUUUGGCAAUGGGCGAAAGCCUGACCAAGCGAUGCCGCGUGCGGGAUGAAGGCCUUCGGGUUGUAAACCGCUGUCAGUGGGGAGGAAAGCUUUGUGAAGAGCAAGGCUUGACCUAUCCGCAGAGGAAGUGUGGGCUAAGUUCGUGCCAGCAGCCGCGGUCAGACGAACCACACAAACGUUAUACGGAAUUACUGGGCUUAGAAGGUGCGUAGGCUGCGUAGGUAGGAAAUACCUCGGCUCAACCGAGGAACUGCGCCCAAAACUACUGUGCUUGAGGAAGAUAGAGGUAAGCGGAACUUACGGUGGAGCGGUGAAAUGCGUUGAUAUCGUAAGGAACACCUGUGGCGAAAGCGGCUUACUGGGUCUUUUCUGACGCUGAUGCACGAAAGCUAGGGGAGCAAACGGGAUUAGAUACCCCUGUAGUC
Molecule: ribosomal RNA, 450 nt
Filed under: uncultured bacterium
Lineage: Bacteria
Description: partial 16S ribosomal RNA
Rfam family: Bacterial small subunit ribosomal RNA
Source: RNAcentral